AUUGAACGCUGGCGGCAGGCCUAACACAUGCAAGUCGAACGAGUGGCGGACGGGUGAGUAAUGCUUGGGAAUCUAGCUUAUGGAGGGGGAUAACUACGGGAAACUGUAGCUAAUACCGCGUAACAUAGGAUGAGCCCAAGUGGGAUUAGGGAGUUGGUGGGGUAAAGGCUCACCAAGCCGACGAUCUCUAGCUGGUCUGAGAGGAGGACCAGCCACACUGGGACUGAGACACGGCCCAGACUCCUACGGGAGGCAGCAGUGGGGAAUAUUGCGCAAUGGGGGCAACCUGACGCAGCCAUGCCGCGUGAAUGAAGAAGGCCUUAGGGUUGUAAAGUUCUUUCGGUAGGGAGGCGUUAACUACAGAAGAAGCACCGGCUAACUCCGUGCCAGCAGCCGCGGUAAUUC
RNAcentral lists this ribosomal RNA (405 nucleotides) under uncultured bacterium. RNAcentral's name for it is "partial 16S ribosomal RNA". It matches the Rfam family "Bacterial small subunit ribosomal RNA", at positions 30 to 526 of the family's 1533-position model. The record is from RNAcentral.